ACGGCGAGUGAGAGGGAAGAGCCCAAGAUUGAAAGCUGGCGUCUUCGGCGUCCGCAUUGUAAUCUCAAGAAGUGUUUUCCGCUUCGGACCAAGCCUAAGUCCCCUGGAAAGGGGCAUCAUAGAGGGUGAUAAUCCCGUACAUGGCUUGGAGCGCCCGAGGCUUUGUGAUACGCUUUCUAAGAGUCGAGUUGUUCGGGAAUGCAGCUCAAAAUGGGUGGUAAAUGCCAUCUAAGGCUAAAUAUUGGGGAGAGACCGAUAGCGAACAAGUACAGUGAUGGAAAGAUGAAAAGAACUUUGAAAAGAGAGUUAAACAGUACGUGAAAUUGCCAAAAGGGAAGGGUAGGAGGUCAGAGAUGCGGCCUGGGAUUCAGCCUUGCUUUUGCUUGGUGUUUUUCUCAGAUUGCAGGCCAACGUCGGUUUUGGGCGCUGGAGAAGGGUGGAAGGAAUGUGGCACCUCUCGGGGUGUGUUAUAGCCUUCUACUGGAUACAGUGACCGAGACCGAGGACAGCAGCGUACUCGCAAGAGCGGGCCUUCGGGCACCUUUACGCUUAGGGCGUUGGCAUAAUGGCCCUCUACCACCCGUC
This 585-nucleotide ribosomal RNA is filed under the name uncultured Pseudozyma. Its description in RNAcentral is "eukaryotic LSU rRNA". It matches the Rfam family "Eukaryotic large subunit ribosomal RNA", at positions 86 to 653 of the family's 3401-position model. The record is from RNAcentral. Lineage: Eukaryota; Fungi; Basidiomycota; Ustilaginomycetes; Ustilaginales; Ustilaginaceae.